RNAcentral lists this ribosomal RNA (497 nucleotides) under uncultured bacterium. Its description in RNAcentral is "partial 16S ribosomal RNA". It matches the Rfam family "Bacterial small subunit ribosomal RNA", at positions 28 to 507 of the family's 1533-position model. The record is from RNAcentral.
GACGAACGCUGGCGGCGUGCCUAAUACAUGCCAGUAGAACGCUGAAGAGAGGAGCUUGCUCUUCUUGGAUGAGUUGCGAACGGGUGAGUAACGCGUAGGUAACCUGCCUUGUAGCGGGGGAUAACUAUUGGAAACGAUAGCUAAUACCGCAUAACAAUGGAUGACACAUGUCAUUUAUUUGAAAGGGGCAAUUGCUCCACUACAAGAUGGACCUGCGUUGUAUUAGCUAGUAGGUGAGGUAACGGCUCACCUAGGCGACGAUACAUAGCCGACCUGAGAGGGUGAUCGGCCACACUGGGACUGAGACACGGCCCAGACUCCUACGGGAGGCAGCAGUAGGGAAUCUUCGGCAAUGGGGGCAACCCUGACCGAGCAACGCCGCGUGAGUGAAGAAGGUUUUCGGAUCGUAAAGCUCUGUUGUAAGUCAAGAACGAGUGUGAGAGUGGAAAGUUUACACUGUGACGGUAGCUUACCAGAAAGGGACGGCUAACUACGUG